Molecule: ribosomal RNA, 135 nt
Filed under: Triticum aestivum (bread wheat)
Lineage: Eukaryota; Viridiplantae; Streptophyta; Magnoliopsida; Poales; Poaceae
Description: partial small subunit ribosomal RNA
Source: RNAcentral
AUGGGGCGGUGGUCGCCGACAGUGGCAGGGCGUUGGUGGGGCCGUGGUGUGGGGAUCGCCGAAGAAAAAGCUCGGCACGGGGGGGGGGGCCUAGAGGGAUGGCCGAGGCAGCGGCGGACCGGUGCUACCUCUUGA